Molecule: ribosomal RNA, 2891 nt
Filed under: Acinetobacter baumannii 25681_2
Lineage: Bacteria; Pseudomonadati; Pseudomonadota; Gammaproteobacteria; Moraxellales; Moraxellaceae
Description: bacterial LSU rRNA
Rfam family: Bacterial large subunit ribosomal RNA
Source: RNAcentral
UCAAGUAAUUAAGUGCAUGUGGUGGAUGCCUUGGCAGUCAGAGGCGAUGAAAGACGUGAUAGCCUGCGAAAAGCUCCGGGGAGGCGGCAAAUAUCCUUUGAUCCGGAGAUGUCUGAAUGGGGGAACCCACCUACUUUAAGGUAGGUAUUGCAACAUGAAUACAUAGUGUUGCAAGGCGAACGAGGGGAAGUGAAACAUCUCAGUACCCUUAGGAAAAGAAAUCAAUUGAGAUUCCCUCAGUAGCGGCGAGCGAACGGGGAUCAGCCCAUUAAGUUAUGUGUGUUUUAGUGGAACGCUCUGGGAAGUGCGAACGUAGAGGGUGAUAUUCCCGUACACGAAAGGGCACACAUAAUGAUGACGAGUAGGGCGAGGCACGUGAAACCUUGUCUGAAUAUGGGGGGACCAUCCUCCAAGGCUAAAUACUCCUGACUGACCGAUAGUGAACCAGUACCGUGAGGGAAAGGCGAAAAGAACCCCUGUGAGGGGAGUGAAAUAGAUCCUGAAACCGCAUGCAUACAAGCAGUGGGAGCACCUUCGUGGUGUGACUGCGUACCUUUUGUAUAAUGGGUCAGCGACUUAUAUUCAGUAGCGAGGUUAACCGUAUAGGGGAGCCGUAGAGAAAUCGAGUCUUAAUAGGGCGUUUAGUUGCUGGGUAUAGACCCGAAACCAGGCGAUCUAUCCAUGAGCAGGUUGAAGGUUGGGUAACACUAACUGGAGGACCGAACCCACUGUCGUUGAAAAGCCAGGGGAUGACUUGUGGAUAGGGGUGAAAGGCUAAUCAAGCCUGGUGAUAGCUGGUUCUCCCCGAAAGCUAUUUAGGUAGCGCCUCGGACGAAUACCAUAGGGGGUAGAGCACUGUUUCGGCUAGGGGGUCAUCCCGACUUACCAAACCGAUGCAAACUCCGAAUACCUAUGAGUACUAUCCGGGAGACAGACUGCGGGUGCUAACGUCCGUAGUCAAGAGGAAAACAAUCCAGACCGCCAGCUAAGGCCCCAAAAUCAUAGUUAAGUGGGAAACGAUGUGGGAAGGCAUAGACAGCUAGGAGGUUGGCUUAGAAGCAGCCACCCUUUAAAGAAAGCGUAAUAGCUCACUAGUCGAGUCGGCCUGCGCGGAAGAUGUAACGGGGCUAAAACUAUGUGCCGAAGCUGCGGAUGUAUACUUUGUAUACGUGGUAGGGGAGCGUUCUGUAAGCCGAUGAAGGUGUGUUGAGAAGCAUGCUGGAGGUAUCAGAAGUGCGAAUGCUGACGUGAGUAACGACAAAACGGGUGAAAAACCCGUUCGCCGAAAGACCAAGGGUUCCAGUCCAACGUUAAUCGGGGCUGGGUGAGUCGACCCCUAAGGCGAGGCCGAAAGGCGUAGUCGAUGGGAAAAUGGUUAAUAUUCCAUUACUUCUGUGUAAUGCGAUGAGAGGACGGAGAAGGCUAAAUCAGCCUGGCGUUGGUUGUCCAGGUGAAAGGAUGUAGGCAUGUAUCUUAGGCAAAUCCGGGGUACUCUAUGCUGAGAUCUGAUAGCAAGCUGUACUUGUACAGCGAAGUGGUUGAUGCCAUGCUUCCAGGAAAAGUCUCUAAGCUUCAGUUACACAGGAAUCGUACCCGAAACCGACACAGGUGGUCAGGUCGAGUAGACCAAGGCGCUUGAGAGAACUCUGCUGAAGGAACUAGGCAAAAUGGUACCGUAACUUCGGGAGAAGGUACGCUGUUGUUGGUGAUGGAACUCGCUUCCUGAGCUGACGACAGCCGCAGAAACCAGGCCGCUGCAACUGUUUAUUAAAAACAUAGCACUCUGCAAACACGAAAGUGGACGUAUAGGGUGUGAUGCCUGCCCGGUGCUGGAAGGUUAAUUGAUGGGGUUAGCGUAAGCGAAGCUCUUGAUCGAAGCCCCAGUAAACGGCGGCCGUAACUAUAACGGUCCUAAGGUAGCGAAAUUCCUUGUCGGGUAAGUUCCGACCUGCACGAAUGGCAUAAUGAUGGCGGCGCUGUCUCCAGCAGAGGCUCAGUGAAAUCGAAAUCGCUGUGAAGAUGCAGUGUACCCGCGGCUAGACGGAAAGACCCCGUGAACCUUUACUGCAGCUUGACACUGAACUUUGACCUUACUUGUGUAGGAUAGGUGGGAGGCUUUGAAGCUGGAACGCUAGUUCCAGUGGAGCCGUCCUUGAAAUACCACCCUGGUAAUGUUGAGGUUCUAACUCUGUCCCGUGAUCCGGGACGAGGACCGUGUCUGGUGGGUAGUUUGACUGGGGCGGUCUCCUCCUAAAGAGUAACGGAGGAGUACGAAGGUGCGCUCAGCGUGGUCGGAAAUCACGCGUAGAGUAUAAAGGCAAAAGCGCGCUUAACUGCGAGACCCACAAGUCGAGCAGGUACGAAAGUAGGUCUUAGUGAUCCGGUGGUUCUGUAUGGAAGGGCCAUCGCUCAACGGAUAAAAGGUACUCUGGGGAUAACAGGCUGAUACCGCCCAAGAGUUCAUAUCGACGGCGGUGUUUGGCACCUCGAUGUCGGCUCAUCUCAUCCUGGGGCUGAAGCAGGUCCCAAGGGUAUGGCUGUUCGCCAUUUAAAGAGGUACGCGAGCUGGGUUUAGAACGUCGUGAGACAGUUCGGUCCCUAUCUACCGUGGGCGCUGGAAAUUUGAGAGGAUCUGCUCCUAGUACGAGAGGACCAGAGUGGACGAACCUCUGGUGUACCGGUUGUGACGCCAGUCGCAUCGCCGGGUAGCUAUGUUCGGAAGGGAUAACCGCUGAAAGCAUCUAAGCGGGAAGCCUACCUCAAGAUAAGAUUGCCCUAGGACUUUAUGUCCUCUAAAGAGCCGUUCGAGACUAGGACGUUGAUAGGUUGGAUGUGGAAGCAUAGUGAUAUGUGAAGCUGACCAAUACUAAUUGCUCGUGAGGCUUGACUAU